AUGCUGGGCCCUCGAGAUAAAGAGGGGGGCUCCAGGAUCCUCUGCUGGGUGGCUCUGAGUCUCCUGGGGGCAGGUCCAGUGGAUGCUGGCAUCAUCCAGUCCCCCAGAAACCUCAUAGCGGAAAAGGGGAGAAAAGCCACUCUGCAAUGUCACCCUGCCUCUGGACACAGCAGCAUGUACUGGUACCAGCAGACCCAGGGCCAGGGCCCACAGUUCCUCUUUCGGUAUUACAACGGGAAACAGCAAGAGAAAGGCAACAUCCCGGGCCGGUUCUCAGGCCUGCAGUUCUCUGACGACCAGUCGGAGCUGAAAGUGAGCGCCCUGGAGCAGGAGGACUCAGCUGUGUUCCUCUGUGCCAGCGGACCUAAAGCUUCAGCCAGAGAACAGGUGUGUGUCCCGAGCUGUGACCCAGUAGGAAGAUGCUCCCCUCUGCCCCGUUCCACAUGGAGCAGGGUAAUGACGUUCUCCUAA
Molecule: non-coding RNA, 471 nt
Organism: Trichechus manatus latirostris (Florida manatee)
Lineage: Eukaryota; Metazoa; Chordata; Mammalia; Sirenia; Trichechidae
Source: the annotation of a RefSeq genome assembly